This 1712-nucleotide ribosomal RNA is filed under the name Tritonus crenulatus. RNAcentral describes it as "SSU rRNA". It matches the Rfam family "Eukaryotic small subunit ribosomal RNA". Lineage: Eukaryota; Metazoa; Arthropoda; Insecta; Coleoptera; Hydrophilidae. The record is from RNAcentral.
GCAUGUCUCAGUACAAGCCAAAUUAAGGUGAAACCGCGAAAGGCUCAUUAAAUCAGUUAUGGUUCCUUAGAUCGUACCCACAUUUACUUGGAUAACUGUGGUAAUUCUAGAGCUAAUACAUGCAAACAGAGCUCUGACUGGAGACGGAAGGAGCGCUUUUAUUAGAUCAAAAUCAAUCGGUGGCGGGCUCGCCCGUCAUCGUACAUUUGGGUGACUCGGAAUAUAUUUUGGCUGAUCGCACGGUCCAGCACCGGCGACGCAUCUUUCAAAUGUCUGCCUUAUCAACUGUCGAUGGUAGGUUCUGCGCCUACCAUGGUUGUAACGGGUAACGGGGAAUCAGGGUUCGAUUCCGGAGAGGGAGCCUGAGAAACGGCUACCACAUCCAAGGAAGGCAGCAGGCGCGCAAAUUACCCACUCCCGGCACNGGGAGGUAGUGACGAAAAAUAACGAUACGGGACUCAUCCGAGGCCCCGUAAUCGGAAUGAGUACACUCUAAACCCUUUAACGAGGAUCAAUUGGAGGGCAAGUCUGGUGCCAGCAGCCGCGGUAAUUCCAGCUCCAAUAGCGUAUAUUAAAGUUGUUGCGGUUAAAAAGCUCGUAGUCGAAUCUGUGUCCCGCGCCGCCGGUUCAUCGCUCGCGGUGUUUAACUGGCGUGUCCGCGGGACGUCCUGCCGGUGGGCUCAACCCGCGUCCGCGCGGGGGCGGCCCAACUUCAAUCCCACUGCGGUGCUCUUGACUGAGUGUCGGGGUGGGCCGGCACGUUUACUUUGAACAAAUUAGAGUGCUUAAAGCAGGCUAAAACUUUGCCUGAAUANUGUGUGCAUGGAAUAAUGGAAUAGGACCUCGNUUNUAUUUUGUUGGUUUUUUUGCCAAAAACGCUUUCAUUGAUCAAGAACGAAAGUUAGAGGUUCGAAGGCGAUCAGAUACCGCCCUAGUUCUAACCAUAAACGAUGCCAGCUAGCGAUCCGNCGACGUUCCUCCGAUGACUCGGCGGGCAGCUUCCGGGAAACCAAAGCUUUUGGGUUCCGGGGGAAGUAUGGUUGCAAAGCUGAAACUUAAAGGAAUUGACGGAAGGGCACCACCAGGAGUGGAGCCUGCGGCUUAAUUUGACUCAACACGGGAAACCUCACCAGGCCCGGACACCGGAAGGAUUGACAGAUUGAGAGCUCUUUCUUGAUUCGGUGGGUGGUGGUGCAUGGCCGUUCUUAGUUGGUGGAGCGAUUUGUCUGGUUAAUUCCGAUAACGAACGAGACUCUAGCCUGCUAACUAGGCGUACUUUCGACAUCUCAAAGGCCCGCUGGCCCGGCAUCCGUGCCGACGUCACGCGCGGUUUUUACUGUCGGCGUAUAAUUAAUUCUUCUUAGAGGGACAGGCGGCGUCUAGCCGCACGAGAUUGAGCAAUAACAGGUCUGUGAUGCCCUUAGAUGUUCUGGGCCGCACGCGCGCUACACUGAAGGAAUCAGCGUGUCCUCCCUGGCCGAGAGGCCCGGGUAACCCGCUGAACCUCCUUCGUGCUAGGGAUUGGGGCUUGCAAUUGUUCCCCAUGAACGAGGAAUUCCCAGUAAGCGCGAGUCAUAAGCUCGCGUUGAUUACGUCCCUGCCCUUUGUACACACCGCCCGUCGCUACUACCGAUUGAAUGAUUUAGUGAGGUCUUCGGACCGGUACGCGGUGGCGCUAGCGCGUCGCCGAUGUUGCUGGGAAGAUGACCAAA